CAGGUAGGACUACCCGCUGAACUUAAGCAUAUCAAUAAGCGGANGAAAAGAAACUAACAAGGAUUCCCCUAGUAACUGCGAGUGAACCGGGAAAAGCUCAANUUUGAAUCUGGCGGUCCUUGAGGCCGUCCGAAUUGUAUCUANAGAANUGUUUUCCGCGCUGGACCGUGUAUAAGUUU
Molecule: ribosomal RNA, 179 nt
Filed under: uncultured Rhizopogon
Lineage: Eukaryota; Fungi; Basidiomycota; Agaricomycetes; Boletales; Rhizopogonaceae
Description: partial 28S ribosomal RNA
Rfam family: Eukaryotic large subunit ribosomal RNA
Source: RNAcentral